This 90-nucleotide transfer RNA is filed under the name Pseudomonadales bacterium. Its description in RNAcentral is "tRNA-Ser". It matches the Rfam family "tRNA". From Rfam's summary of the family: Transfer RNA (tRNA) molecules are approximately 80 nucleotides in length. Lineage: Bacteria; Pseudomonadati; Pseudomonadota; Gammaproteobacteria; Pseudomonadales. The record is from RNAcentral. RNAcentral also lists the same sequence under 3 other names.
GGAGAGAUGGCCGAGCGGUCGAAGGCGCUUGAUUGGAAGUCAAGUAACAUCGCAAGGUGUUCGUGGGUUCGAAUCCCACUCUCUCCGCCA